UGAACGCUGGCGGCGUGCUUAACACAUGCAAGUCGCACGAGAACGUUUCAGCUUGCUGAAACUAGUAAAGUGGCGCACGGGUGAGUAACGCGUGGGUAAUCUACCUCCGAAUUGGGGAUAACAUUGCGAAAGCGAUGCUAAUACCGAAUGACAUCUCAAUAACUCCGGUCUUUGAGAUCAAAGGUGGCCUCUCCAUGGAAGCUACUGUUUGGAGAUGAGCCCGCGUACCAUUAGCUUGUUGGUAGGGUAAUGGCCUACCAAGGCGACGAUGGUUAGCUGGUCUGAGAGGAUGAUCAGCCACACUGGAACUGACACACGGUCCAGACUCCUACGGGAGGCAGCAGUGAGGAAUUUUGCGCAAUGGGGGAAACCCUGACGCAGCAACGCCGCGUGAGUGAUGAAGGCUUUCGGGUCGUAAAGCUCUGUCAAGUGAGAAGAACCUGUCCUUUGCUAAUAUCACUGGGCACUGACGGUAUCACUGAAGGAAGCACCGGCUAACUCC
This 502-nucleotide ribosomal RNA is filed under the name uncultured bacterium. RNAcentral's name for it is "bacterial SSU rRNA". It matches the Rfam family "Bacterial small subunit ribosomal RNA", at positions 30 to 504 of the family's 1533-position model. The record is from RNAcentral.